This is a long non-coding RNA of Mustela erminea (ermine), 1123 nucleotides long. RefSeq lists it as uncharacterized. Lineage: Eukaryota; Metazoa; Chordata; Mammalia; Carnivora; Mustelidae. The transcript is spliced from 2 exons. The record is from RefSeq and is a predicted model, not a curated record.
CGGGAAGAAGAGCGAGCCCGAGGCCAGCGUCAGCAGCAUGGGUGCUCCGGGGGUCGGUCGCCGCGCUCGGCGCCCUCGGCGUGGCUCAGGCUUUGGAAGCAGAGACAGAGCAAGAACAAGGGAGGAAAUAAAAUGAUGGGAGACACGGAGAUACAGCACAGGAAGAUCCAUCAGAAGACUGAGAUCAGAACUGUUACAGGGAAUAAAAGGGGCACGAUUCAGCUCCUCUGACUCAGAAGAACAAGCAGAGAGAUGGAUCCAGAAACUGGAAUUUACAACAAGGGGACAAAAGGGAGGCACUAUGAGACACAGAGAAAGGUAAAAGGAGGUGUACAAAGAGGAAGGAAGUGACAGCCUUUUAUGGGAAUAGCUGGAACCAACCGAAGCCAUAAUGCAUUUGAAGUUCUACUGCACAAGGAAGGAGGCAGCUUGUUUUUAGGCCAGAAUGUGGCAGGAGGAAGUUAAUCAAUUGCCUUUCUCCUCUUUCUCCUGUACUCUGUUUGCACUCCACAAGAAUACCUGGUCAAUGCGGCCUGGCAUUGAUAUUUGUCUACAUGUUUCCCCUGUGGACUGCGGGCCUCUCUAAGGGGCAAGGCAGGGCCUGCCAGUUCAGAAGGCAGCCACGACACACAGCGCAGCGGGGAGCGUUAGGAGGCCUGAGUUCCAGCGAUGGCCCCGCUUCACGUAAGCUGGGUGACAUGGGGAAAACUACUUAACCUCUCUCUAAGAUAUGGGUUCCUCUACCAACCUCACAGGGUGGUUACGAGAAUUAGAUGAGAGAAUUUCAGAAAUACGUGUAAACUAUGUGCCGGACAGGGGCAAGGGACCCUUCGUUAUCUUGGUUCCCUGCAGCACAGUUACUGGCUGUUGAAACUUCUCAGUAAACAUGGAUUGGAUUGAAGACGAUCUAGGUAGGCCUGGCCUUAGCCAGCUUCCAGGCUGCCGCUUCCUCGGUUUUAUCCUGGACUAUUUGCAAAAGCAAGCUCUAAGUCUAAGAGGCACAGUCACACCCCAAGCACGUGGUUUCUACAAACAGUGACCACAGCUGCGCACCACAGGGAAGUCCUCGCUCUGGUACACAGUGAUAAUGAUCCCUGUCAAUAAAGACCGUAAUUUACACAAA